Molecule: ribosomal RNA, 2816 nt
Filed under: Klebsiella pneumoniae
Lineage: Bacteria; Pseudomonadati; Pseudomonadota; Gammaproteobacteria; Enterobacterales; Enterobacteriaceae
Description: partial 23S ribosomal RNA
Rfam family: Bacterial large subunit ribosomal RNA
Source: RNAcentral
GGUUAAGCGACUAAGCGUACACGGUGGAUGCCCUGGCAGUCAGAGGCGAUGAAGGACGUGCUAAUCUGCGAAAAGCGUCGGUAAGGUGAUAUGAACCGUUAUAACCGGCGAUGUCCGAAUGGGGAAACCCAGUGCAAUUCGUUGCACUAUCGUUAACUGAAUACAUAGGUUAACGAGGCGAACCGGGGGAACUGAAACAUCUAAGUACCCCGAGGAAAAGAAAUCAACCGAGAUUCCCCCAGUAGCGGCGAGCGAACGGGGAGCAGCCCAGAGUCUGAAUCAGCUUGUGUGUUAGUGGAACGGUCUGGAAAGUCCGACGGUACAGGGUGAUAGUCCCGUACACCAAAAUGCACAGGUUGUGAACUCGAAGAGUAGGGCGGGACACGUGGUAUCCUGUCUGAAUAUGGGGGGACCAUCCUCCAAGGCUAAAUACUCCUGACUGACCGAUAGUGAACCAGUACCGUGAGGGAAAGGCGAAAAGAACCCCGGCGAGGGGAGUGAAAAAGAACCUGAAACCGUGUACGUACAAGCAGUGGGAGCACCUUCGGGUGUGACUGCGUACCUUUUGUAUAAUGGGUCAGCGACUUAUAUUCUGUAGCAAGGUUAACCGUAUAGGGGAGCCGCAGGGAAACCGAGUCUUAACUGGGCGUUAAGUUGCAGGGUAUAGACCCGAAACCCGGUGAUCUAGCCAUGGGCAGGUUGAAGGUUGGGUAACACUAACUGGAGGACCGAACCGACUAAUGUUGAAAAAUUAGCGGAUGACUUGUGGCUGGGGGUGAAAGGCCAAUCAAACCGGGAGAUAGCUGGUUCUCCCCGAAAGCUAUUUAGGUAGCGCCUCGUGAACUCAUCUUCGGGGGUAGAGCACUGUUUCGGCUAGGGGGUCAUCCCGACUUACCAACCCGAUGCAAACUACGAAUACCGAAGAAUGUUAUCACGGGAGACACACGGCGGGUGCUAACGUCCGUCGUGAAGAGGGAAACAACCCAGACCGCCAGCUAAGGUCCCAAAGUCAUGGUUAAGUGGGAAACGAUGUGGGAAGGCACAGACAGCCAGGAUGUUGGCUUAGAAGCAGCCAUCAUUUAAAGAAAGCGUAAUAGCUCACUGGUCGAGUCGGCCUGCGCGGAAGAUGUAACGGGGCUAAACCAUGCACCGAAGCUGCGGCAGCGACACUAUGUGUUGUUGGGUAGGGGAGCGUUCUGUAAGCCUGCGAAGGUGUGCUGUGAGGCAUGCUGGAGGUAUCAGAAGUGCGAAUGCUGACAUAAGUAACGAUAAAGCGGGUGAAAAGCCCGCUCGCCGGAAGACCAAGGGUUCCUGUCCAACGUUAAUCGGGGCAGGGUGAGUCGACCCCUAAGGCGAGGCCGAAAGGCGUAGUCGAUGGGAAACAGGUUAAUAUUCCUGUACUUGGUGUUACUGCGAAGGGGGGACGGAGAAGGCUAUGUUAGCCGGGCGACGGUUGUCCCGGUUUAAGCAUGUAGGCUGGUUAUCCAGGCAAAUCCGGAUAAUCAAGGCUGAGGUGUGAUGACGAGGCACUACGGUGCUGAAGUAACAAAUGCCCUGCUUCCAGGAAAAGCCUCUAAGCAUCAGGUAACAUCAAAUCGUACCCCAAACCGACACAGGUGGUCAGGUAGAGAAUACCAAGGCGCUUGAGAGAACUCGGGUGAAGGAACUAGGCAAAAUGGUGCCGUAACUUCGGGAGAAGGCACGCUGGUGUGUAGGUGAAGCCCCUGCGGGUGGAGCUGAGACCAGUCGAAGAUACCAGCUGGCUGCAACUGUUUAUUAAAAACACAGCACUGUGCAAACACGAAAGUGGACGUAUACGGUGUGACGCCUGCCCGGUGCCGGAAGGUUAAUUGAUGGGGUUAUCCGUAAGGAGAAGCUCUUGAUCGAAGCCCCGGUAAACGGCGGCCGUAACUAUAACGGUCCUAAGGUAGCGAAAUUCCUUGUCGGGUAAGUUCCGACCUGCACGAAUGGCGUAAUGAUGGCCAGGCUGUCUCCACCCGAGACUCAGUGAAAUUGAACUCGCUGUGAAGAUGCAGUGUACCCGCGGCAAGACGGAAAGACCCCGUGAACCUUUACUAUAGCUUGACACUGAACAUUGAGCCUUGAUGUGUAGGAUAGGUGGGAGGCUUUGAAGCGUGGACGCCAGUCUGCGUGGAGCCAACCUUGAAAUACCACCCUUUAAUGUUUGAUGUUCUAACGUUGGCCCCUGACCGGGGUUGCGGACAGUGUCUGGUGGGUAGUUUGACUGGGGCGGUCUCCUCCCAAAGCGUAACGGAGGAGCACGAAGGUUAGCUAAUCCUGGUCGGACAUCAGGAGGUUAGUGCAAUGGCAUAAGCUAGCUUGACUGCGAGCGUGACGGCGCGAGCAGGUGCGAAAGCAGGUCAUAGUGAUCCGGUGGUUCUGAAUGGAAGGGCCAUCGCUCAACGGAUAAAAGGUACUCCGGGGAUAACAGGCUGAUACCGCCCAAGAGUUCAUAUCGACGGCGGUGUUUGGCACCUCGAUGUCGGCUCAUCACAUCCUGGGGCUGAAGUAGGUCCCAAGGGUAUGGCUGUUCGCCAUUUAAAGUGGUACGCGAGCUGGGUUUAGAACGUCGUGAGACAGUUCGGUCCCUAUCUGCCGUGGGCGCUGGAGAAUUGAGGGGGGCUGCUCCUAGUACGAGAGGACCGGAGUGGACGCAUCACUGGUGUUCGGGUUGUCAUGCCAAUGGCACUGCCCGGUAGCUAAAUGCGGAAGAGAUAAGUGCUGAAAGCAUCUAAGCACGAAACUUGCCCCGAGAUGAGUUCUCCCUGAGACUUUAAGUCUCCUGAAGGAACGUU